GUGUGUUAAUACAAGCAGGUAUCGUUCCACUUUAUCCCACGCAUUGAUUUGCUUUUUGUAGACAAACAGUUCAAGUAAAUAGUAUGUGUAUGUGAAGAAAGAUUUAAUUUACAAAAUGUUUCUUCCUUUAAAUUCCAUAUUUGUAAAAAAAAAAUUAUUAGUUUGUAUUAAAAAAUAUAAAACAAUAAAGAUGGUUCAUGAAUUUAAUGCAUAUACAUAA
RNAcentral lists this long non-coding RNA (220 nucleotides) under Helianthus annuus (common sunflower). Its description in RNAcentral is "hypothetical non coding rna". Lineage: Eukaryota; Viridiplantae; Streptophyta; Magnoliopsida; Asterales; Asteraceae. The record is from RNAcentral.